GAAUCUAAGGGCGUAUGGUGGAUGCCUUGGUUGAAAGAGGCGAUGAAGGACGUAGUAUGGCUGCGAUAAGCUCCGGUAAGAUGCCUAACAAUCGUUAUACCCGGAGAUCUCCGAAUGGGGGAACCCAACUGUUUUUUAACAGUUAUUAUAGAUUUAAUCUAUUUUGCAUACCUAGGGAAGUGAAACAUCUCAGUACCUAGAGGAAUAGAAAACAAGUCUGAUUAAUUCAGACAACAUUUCCUUAGUAGCGGCGAGCGAAAAGGAAGAAGCCCAAACCAAUUGUAUUUAUAUAAUUGGGGUUGUAAGACUGUAACUUAGCUUCGGCUAGGAGAGUUACAAAGUGAUUUAUUAGUUGAAUUAACUGGAAAGUUAAACCUUAGACGGUAAUAGUCCCGUAAACGAAAAUAAAUCAUCUCUCUUGUUACAGCUCUUGAGUAGCUCAGGACACGAAUAGCCUGAGUGAAUCUACCAGAACUAACUGGUAAGGCUAAAUACUCUUUCAAACCGAUAGUGAACUAGUACCGUGAGGGAAAGGUGAAAAGUAGCCCGGUGAGGGCGGUGAAAUAGACCUGAAACCAUAUGUCUACAAAUAGUUGGAGAGGAGCUAAAAUUUAUUUUAGCAUCCUCGACAGCGUGCCUAUUGAAGAAUGAGCCAACGAGUUUAAUCAUUUUCUUUGUCUAAGCCCAUAGGGGCGAAGGCUAAGCGAAAGCGAGUCUGAACAGG
Molecule: ribosomal RNA, 724 nt
Rfam family: Bacterial large subunit ribosomal RNA